UACGGGAGGCAGCAGUGGGGAAUAUUGGGCAAUGGGCGAAAGCCUGACCCAGCAACGCCGCGUGAAGGAAGAAGGUCCUCGGAUUGUAAACUUCUUUUAUGAGGGACGAAGGACGUGACGGUACCUCAUGAAUAAGCCACGGCUAACUACGUGCCAGCAGCCGCGGUAAU
This 170-nucleotide ribosomal RNA is filed under the name uncultured rumen bacterium. Its description in RNAcentral is "partial 16S ribosomal RNA". It matches the Rfam family "Bacterial small subunit ribosomal RNA", at positions 340 to 524 of the family's 1533-position model. The record is from RNAcentral.